Molecule: long non-coding RNA, 3717 nt
Organism: Pogoniulus pusillus (Red-fronted tinkerbird)
Lineage: Eukaryota; Metazoa; Chordata; Aves; Piciformes; Lybiidae
Exons: 2
Source: RefSeq, a predicted model, not a curated record
GGAGCUCCCAUCCCCGCAGGAUCCUGCACAGCAGCUGUCACUGCACUGAGACUGCACCCAUGGGUGAGCAGCUUGGGUGGCUUCACUCACCACUUUCAACCACCUCAGCAUGGAGGGGCCAUACUCAAGGGUGUAUAGAACCCGCGGGAAAGCUGAGCCCAAACGGAAACUCAACUCCCAAAGAAUUUGGCCUAUCCUGGCCAGCUCCUGUCUGCCUGCCAGGCAUGCUCCCCUGCCUGCUCUCUGCUCUUUAUCUUUUCAGAGGCUUUGUUAGCAGGUAUCAAGCUAUGCUUUGUGCACCCAGGGGGUGGGGGGUGGGGGGGGCUUCUUUUCACGUUAUUUGAGGGUGAUAAAGUUACAGGGUUUUACCUGGAGAACUGUGGUGAGAAAGUUCUCUUGGGCAUUUCCAGGAAUGACUCCCCUCCCCCAGCCAACGUAUUCCCUCCCCCAGCCCCAAUUCCCAGCAUUUUCACAGCAAGUCGGGGAGGCUGAGCUCAGCUGGGAAGCAUGACCUGGCAGAACCUCACCCAGCAGAAUCCUGUUUUCUGCUGCUAACAUUUUCCUCCUGGCCGAUUUGAUCUCCUGCUUCUUGUGAGAACUCCUCAGUAUGUCACAGGGAGAAUGUGUACAGGGCACUUGAGGCACAGCAGCUUCGGGUAAGGGCUACAUUCUGACCCUGCCCUGAGCCAGCCAUGAUGGAGAGAAGGAUCUGGGUGAGGAUGCUGACUCCAGCUGACACCAGAAACAGAGACCAGCACAGCUCCAGCCAGCCCAGGUCUUGCAGUCAGGUGCCUGAUGCACAGCCCUGCUCUCCUGCUUUGUCUCUGGUGAGCAGCAUGUGGAGGAAAAGCUUUGGCUAGAGAAUGCUGGAGCCUCCAAGAGGCUGCUUCCUUCCAGCUCCCCAUGUCACCCAGAGCUGGGCUGGGUGGGAGAAGCCCCAGGACAGACCCACUGUGGUCCCCACUGGGACUAGCACCAUCUCCAGAUGGCUGGUGGGAUUGCACCACUGCCACCAGUUCAGAGCACUAAGUGGAGAGCCUGGCUGGAGGUUGACUGCAGUGAAGGUGUUUGGGGGCUCUGAACAAGUGCCAGCUGUGCCUGGGAACUGGGCACAAGAGCACUCAGUUGGUGCUCACCAUGAUGUCAAAUGUUCUUCAGAGUCAAAGAGCCAUCUUCAGGGUUCUGACCCAUCCCCCUGCCAUCCCAGUGUGGAUGCCAAUGUCCCAACUUAGGGACAUCAGGCAGCACCACCUGCAUCCCACCACAUCUCAUUUGGGAAAACAGGAUCUGACCCCCAAGAUCACCACAUCCUAAAAAUUCUGGACUAAAUCCAAGGUCUUCUAAAUGCAGCACUCCAGUGAGCCAGCAAGACACCUUUUAAAGCACAGAAACCCAAGUGCUGUGUGUUUUGCCCUUGGUGCACGUGGCUUAGCCCACAGGGGCUCAGCUGGGCACAGGGGACAGGCAGUGCUGGGCACAGAGGAUGGGCAGAGGACUUCUCACCCUCACAACCAGGAGCAGCCUUAGCUCCUCUCCACUAAAACACAGGCUCAAGGAUUCCUGUGGGAAUAUGGAGGGGAUCCUUGCACUGACAACACAUUCAGCUCACUGCUCAGCUGCUUGCUCUUGGGUAGCUCAACCAAAGCUUCUGUCUUGACCUUGGCCAUACCAUGGUCUUUGCCAGGAUGCCCUUUGUUCGGCUGUGCAAGGCAGCACAUCAUUCACUUUGAGCAAAUAGAUGAGGUGGAGUGACCUAGGCAAGAUGGAGUCAAACAUCUCCACCAGCAAAGCAGCCCACGCUGGUCUGAGCGGCUACAGAAGCAGCAACAUGAGUCAGCCCCACCAAGAUCCAGCCCUGGGGGCGCCUUUCUCAGCAGACACUGCUGUUAAUGGGUCUGCGACUUCAGCAGCCCAGCUCUGCAUUGUAGCCAGGCUCCUUUGGAUGGGCGUGCAAGGAGGCUCUGAAGAGGCACUGAAGGCUUUUUGCAGCUCUUUCUGUACCGUGGAGCCAAGGCCCCGUGUGCUGCUGUCCCUGUGCAGCCAGGCUGCGAGCCGCAGGCGUUGGGAAGAUGAGGGGGGCCGGUGGGAGCAGAGCUCAUCCCUCUGUACCACCCCCUUGGCCUCACCACCUGGGCAAAAAAUGUGGAGAGCUGCAGAGACACGAUGGGAGCUGCCUUAGGGGGGACGAGCGUGGCAGGGGCUCCUGUUGCUAAUUACACCCCCCCGGAGCAGUCCACGGCUCAGGUGAGCCCUUCGCGGGAACAAAGGAGCCCUUGUAAGGAGCAUGCUCGGCAUGUGAUGCUCAGAUGUGCAGGAGCCCAGGUUCCUCCUGCAGAGCUCCUCUCUGCCUCCUGCCCCUGCAGCCUCCACCGCUCAGCCCGUGGGGCUGGGGCCCUGGUCAGAAGAGGGAGUUUUUGUAACAGGAAAGAAAAGCUCCUGGGGUCCUCUUGUCCCUAAACUGCUGCCUCACUUUUGCUGAAACACUCACAGGCAUCUGAACGUGACCCAGCCUAAACACCAUCAGCUCCAGGGUGGUCGAGCCACAGCUUCAUGAACAUCUGCAACCAGCAGAUAAUGGGAGAAACUGGUUUGGUGCCAUCAGGUACCAUCAGGGGAGGGCAGGGGGGUGUCUGCUUCCCAGGAGAGGGCAAAAACUGCUCUGCCAGGAGUUACCUGGCUGGCAGGGUGGAGGGGCAGUGCUCUCAGGAAGGAGAAGAUCAAUAUUGGUUUAACAUUCAGAAAACUCUCCCAGCCUCUGCCUGCCACAGUUACAAAUCAGGGCAACUGCUGAUGUGAGCACAGCAAAUGCUCACCCCUAGGAAGGACUUCGGGUUUUCAGUAACCCUGCCCACCCUCUGGAGACACCUCACCAAUACUGAGGCACAGCUGUGUGUGCUCACAGGGGAAACACCAGGUCUAGGACCAUCAGAACUGUCCACCUAAGGCUGUGCCAUGGUAAUCCCAACUGGGAAACGCUGCUGGGUGACCACCGCAGGGUGAGCCUCAAAGGGUGACCACCACAGGCUGACCGGCACAAGGUGACCAACAGCUCAUAGACAAGCAGCCCAGCCUUGGGCUGGCACAUCGAAUGUCCCCAUGCAGGGCACGUUCCACUCACCCUGCCAGCCCCAGGUCCAUCUGGAAAUGCAGUGUGUGAGGCUGCAGGGAUGGGGGCUGUGAGAGCUGCGAGCCCUCGGAGCCUGAGCGCAGCAAAUCCAGAAAGAAAUGGUCGGAUCAUGAUAUCACAGGGAACUGAGGCCAAAGCAGCUGAAAUCAUUCAAACACUCAGAGCGUGCUGUGGGGGGAGGACCCCUCUGCUCUAAAUAUAUUCCUUUGAAGGCAGGCUGUUAUUUAAACAGCUAUUGCAAAAGAGGGGUUAGAUGGAGCUGCUCUGAAGUGAGGAGGGAAGGAGGGAGGGCUGGUUGCGGGCACACAGUCACCUCCCAGGUAUUUUAAUUGCAAAUCCCAGCAUGUUUUAUAGGUGCCUAGAGAGAAUCUCUUUACGUGGGCUCCACGGAUUACAAUCAGAUCCAUCAUGUUUUAUAUGAACUUAGUGACAGUGCCUAAGUCCCACCCUGACGAUGCUUAAGAUGGGAGGAUACCAUGUAACAGCCUGUCCACGAGCCAGGAACAGUCUGAGGCAUCUCCAAGGCUCCCAGGAGAGCUUAGCUGAGCAGAGCAGCUGCAGGGCAGUGUCUCUGUCCUGCACGCUGGAGA